AUGAUUCCUAUUUUAGAGCUAAAGAAACUGAGCCCCAGAAUCACCAGACCAGAGUCACUUCCUGAUGAAUUACAGUCAGGAGUCCACAGACUGCUCUCUGAACCAGUGUGCUCUGUGGCCUUUCUAAGAAAAACAAGAGACUUAGGACAACCGAGAACACUGAUAUUUGCAUUUAAUUGGACACAAGAUGAAGAAGGAGCAUACGUUCGCUAAGGAUUCUGUCUGCUUGCUUCUGUAGAUCUACGUAUUAAGGAGUUCUUCUUGCUUAGGAGUUGAUCUGCUCUGCGGUCGUACCGCUGUGGAGUUUGCCCACCAUUUAUCUUGUCUUUGCCAGAAGAAAUCCUGGUUGGAAUGAAACAGUGCAUCUCUGUCUGAUUACUAUGGAAGGUGAUAAACUGACGCUCACUUAUUAAAGUUACAUCUCACUCCCCCACAGAAAACCAUUCUUCAACGUGACUAGAAACCAAGCCCU
This 472-nucleotide long non-coding RNA is filed under the name Suricata suricatta (meerkat). Its description in RNAcentral is "lncRNA (ENSSSUG00005016459.1)". Lineage: Eukaryota; Metazoa; Chordata; Mammalia; Carnivora; Herpestidae. The record is from RNAcentral.